RNAcentral lists this ribosomal RNA (958 nucleotides) under uncultured bacterium. RNAcentral's name for it is "bacterial SSU rRNA". It matches the Rfam family "Bacterial small subunit ribosomal RNA", at positions 8 to 997 of the family's 1533-position model. The record is from RNAcentral.
AGAGUUUGAUCAUGGCUCAGAAUCAACGCUGGCGGCGCGCUUAACACAUGCAAGUCGAACGAGAAAGGGGGAGCAAUCUCCUGAGUACAGUGGCGUACGGGCGAGUAACACGUGGGUAAUCUACCUCUUAGUGGGGAAUAACCCUGGGAAACCGGGGCUAAUACCGCAUAAUCUCGAGAGAGGAAAGUCGCAAGACGCUGAGAGAGGAGCCCGCGGCCGAUUAGCUAGUUGGCAGGGUAAAAGCCUACCAAGGCAAAGAUCGGUAGCCGGCCUGAGAGGGCACACGGCCACACUGGCACUGAAACACGGGCCAGACUCCUACGGGAGGCAGCAGUGGGGAAUCUUGCACAAUGGGGGAAACCCUGAUGCAGCGACGCCGCGUGAGCGAUGAAGCCCUUCGGGGUGUAAAGCUCUUUCGGCAGGGAAGAUGAUGACGGUACCUGCAGAAGCAGCUGCGGCUAACUACGUGCCAGCAGCCGCGGUAAUACGUAGGCAGCGAGCGUUGUUCGGAGUUACUGGGCGUAAAGGGUGUGUAGGCGGUUGCUUAAGUUUGGUGUGAAAUCUCCCGGCUCAACUGGGAGGGUGCGCCGAAUACUGAGUGACUAGAGUGCGGGAGAGGAGAGUGGAAUUCCUGGUGUAGCGGUGAAAUGCGUAGAUAUCAGGAGGAACACCGGUGGUGUAGACGGCUCUCUGGACCGUAACUGACGCUGAGACACGAAAGCGUGGGUAGCAAACAGGAUUAGAUACCCUGGUAGUCCACGCCCUAAACGAUGCAUAUUUGGUGUGGGCAGUUCAUUCUGUCCGUGCCGGAGCUAACGCGUUAAAUAUGCCGCCUGGGGAGUACAGUCGCAAGGCUGAAACUCAAAGGAAUUGACGGGGGCCCGCACAAGCGGUGGAGCAUGUGGUUCAAUUCGACGCAACGCGAAGAACCUUACCUGGGCUCGAACGGCUGGCUAAC